GCCUUCCAAGGGGAGUGUGGGGGCAAAAGACGUAUCUGGCUUCAAGACUAAGCUUGGACAGAAAAUCCAUUUCCCAGACAGUUCUAAUGAAGAAAUCCAUGAGUGGAGCAGAGGUGCUCAACGUUACUCACGUUCGUAAGUCCCUUGCUGAACUGCAGCCCAAAUGAACUUAGGGAUGGAAAGGAUGUCCUUGCACCCUCCACUGCUUCUACACCAGGGCAGGCAAAUUUGCCCCUUAAUGUGGAAAAAUGCAGCAUGAUGCCAGACACGUCUAUGAAUUGCAGUGUGAAAAGAAAAUUGCAUCCAUUUUGCUCAGCUCAGCAAUAUGAAAGUUCACAAGCUCUGAAAGCCAAAUGCACAACUGGCAUCAGUGGGUACCAUCUCCACUGAACUUAAUGGAAUUGUGCCCAUUUGCACCGGGGCUACGUUUUGCCAAGAGACUCUCUGCAAAAGGGGAG
This is a long non-coding RNA of Mauremys mutica (yellowpond turtle), 458 nucleotides long. RefSeq lists it as uncharacterized. The transcript has 4 exons. The record is from RefSeq and is a predicted model, not a curated record. NCBI's taxonomy places the organism in Eukaryota, Metazoa, Chordata, Testudines, Geoemydidae.